This 94-nucleotide ribosomal RNA is filed under the name uncultured bacterium. Its description in RNAcentral is "partial 16S ribosomal RNA". It matches the Rfam family "Bacterial small subunit ribosomal RNA", at positions 1389 to 1482 of the family's 1533-position model. The record is from RNAcentral.
ACCGCCCGUCACGUCAUGGAAGUUGGUUCUACCUGAAGACAGUGUUCUGACCGCAAGGAGGAAGCUGGCCACGGUAGGGUCAAUGACUGGGACG